RNAcentral lists this long non-coding RNA (1475 nucleotides) under Linum usitatissimum (flax). RNAcentral's name for it is "long non-coding RNA (LUSI_LNC007330)". The record is from RNAcentral. Lineage: Eukaryota; Viridiplantae; Streptophyta; Magnoliopsida; Malpighiales; Linaceae.
GUUGAAUUUGGGUCCAUUUGACAUAUUUAUAUUUGUAUUAAAAUAAAGUGACGAAAAUAAGUAAAAAAAAUAAAAUGAAAGUGUUCUCUUUCCUAGCUAAGCAAUCCAAAUAAGAAGCAACUCUCAACAACCUCUCAUCUCAAAAACCCUUUUCAAAAACUCACCUACACGCACAAAAGGCCUCCCUCUCUUACAAAAAAAAACACUUCAAAAACAGCCCUCUCAAAGACUUUCCAUAUAAACUUAUCUUCAUCUUCUAUGUAUGUACUAGCACUAACAUUAACUAACUUAUCAUAUUACUCCUUAAAAUAUUUUAGUUUCAUCUUUUAAUUAAUGCCAUACUAACAUUUACAUAACAUUUUAUUCAAUCUAACAACUAUCUCUACUCUUAACUCUCUAGCAAAAAUUAGAAGUCUUUAUUCUUAACAAAUCAUAUACAUGCCUUGUCUUUAUAAUCUUAUGCAAUAAUAAGAUCAUUAUUUGGGUUUAAAGUUGUUAUUUAGUUGAGUAAAUAAAAAAGAUUAUGCAGAUCGUUUGCUUAGUAUAUCCAUUGUUGUGAACAUAUGUUGCAACUGGUGAAAUUGAAAUUCUUAUACACACAUGAUUGACAGUAUUAGAAAGCAUUAUAAGGUUAGCAGCUCAAUCACCUUAAAAGGGAAUUUUUAAUCGGUUUGGUUUCUAGGUCACCCCAGUACCUAGGUCACUUCACCAUCAUCAAAAUCUAAGAGGCAAUGGCGCAAAAUCAGAUAUGAAUUUAAUCAAUCCGUCAAAUUAAAAACAGGGGGAAUGAUUUACCUUCUUUUGCAGUUUGAAUCAGUGACGACAAAAGCGAGUAAAGAACUCGGAUCGGUGACGACAACAUCCAGCGACGAGAUGGACGGCCUUGAUGCAAGAGGCGGCGAUGGUGACUUGGAGAUCAUCAACCACCGAGAGCAACCAGCUGUUGGCGGCAGCUUCAGCUCAGGAGGUAGAGACUCUGUUGAUCUGACAUGAUAGUAGCCGACAACAACUAAAAAUGGUGACACUAGAUCGAGGGAUUUGAUAGGCGGCGAGUCUUCAUUUUUUUAAUUCUAGGGUUUAGUUAUAGUUUAUGGAAAAUUAAUAGAGAGGAGAUGAAGAGGAGAAGGAGGAGAAGAAGAGAGAAAGAAAAGGAGAAGAGAAGGAGGAGCGACGAUGGCGGCGCCAUCGCUGAAGAGAAAACGGAGAAAAUAAGAAGGGCAGAAAAAGAAGAAGGGGAGAAAAAGAAGAGAGGAGAAGGAUAAUGAGAAGAGAGGAGAAGAAGAGAGAAAAAAGGGGAGGAGCGGUGGCGACGCUGCUGCCGCAGCCGGAAAAAAGAGAAGAGGAGACGUAGAGAGGGAGAGAAGAAAGAGGGAGGAGAAAAGGAAGAGAGAAUUGAAGGAGAAAGUUUAGAGGAGAGAGAGAGAGAGAGAGUGAAAAAUGAGUAAAAAAUGUUUUAAAUGGUUUUUAUACGAUCC